Long non-coding RNA from Chroicocephalus ridibundus (black-headed gull), 1200 nucleotides. RefSeq lists it as uncharacterized. Lineage: Eukaryota; Metazoa; Chordata; Aves; Charadriiformes; Laridae. The transcript is spliced from 3 exons. The record is from RefSeq and is a predicted model, not a curated record.
GAGCCAGGCACGGCUGUGAGGAUGGCACCGGGGGACCCCCCUGUGGCACCCACCCCCCUGCCUGUGGCUUGCCCUCCUUCCUGGCGCUCGCCCCACUGACACUGGCACGUGCUGGCUGGACCCCACGCCUCGACACUGGGAGAAAUCUGCCGGGAGAGCACAGAGCCAAUGGCUCCCACUCCAAGGGGCAAAGGAGAUUGAAGCACUGGGACCCAGGAGCCUCUUUGGAGCCAGGAAACAAGGCUGACAUCCGAACACAGGAUGGGAUUUUUGAGAGAGAUGGAGAACUUCCACCGGCCUCCAGACCCAGAGCUGGCAGCAGGGCUUUGCAGCAACACACCACUGCUUUGCAGUGAGAGUGGCACAUACGGGACUUGCGGUGACAGAUUUCCAUCAAGGUUAUCGAAGAGGAAGCGCUGGAGGGUUAGAGCUUCUUAGGCGAACAGACUAUCCUCUUUUCUGUAGUCCUCCACCUAAAACUAGUACCAAAACCUCCUAGAAAUUAAAAGCUGAAGAAAGGAAUGCCAUCCUAAAUUUGUUCAAAAUGUAAUUUUUCAUUUUUUGGUCGUCUAAAUUUAAGCUUAAUUCAAUCCCGAGCCAAGGGAGGCCUUGCCUGUGUCACCGAUGGCAAACUGCUGUGCGCAAACAGCACUAUGUGCUUGAACAGCCGUUGCAAAAUCACAAGAACGAAAGCCUGCCCUCUUCCUCAGCAGUCUGUCGCUGACAGGGCAGAUAGGAAAAGAAAGGAGGGAGAAAGGGUUCAAGUUUUGCAUGAGGCCAACUUCAAAUCCCAAGGGAAAAACACUGGCCGGCAGCUGCACAAGAGGUGCUGGACCUCACCUGACAUCUAGCGGCAACCGCUGCGAGAAGAGCCGGGGUGCCGGAGCCCAGGAACACCCGGGAUCCCCCGCUGCUGCCAUCCAAAAUCCCUGUUUAAGAGGAAGGAACCAGCCCAAGGUGCAGGAUGGGGGUUUAAAGUUCAGUAACACACGGGGAACAGAUACCGGUCUGCUGCUUCAUCACCACAAACCUUCUCUGCUGGAACAAAAAAUUAUUCAGAGCUCUGCUCCUGCACGCAAAGUGCACGACACGUCCGUGGGAUGUUCACACUCUGCUGGUAUAAACUGGAUUGGAAUUACUUAUUUUCACAGUUCUUUUCCUCUGAUGCCUCACCCUCAUUUGGAGCGAGCGCUAACGACU